This 240-nucleotide ribosomal RNA is filed under the name Triticum aestivum (bread wheat). RNAcentral describes it as "partial small subunit ribosomal RNA". Lineage: Eukaryota; Viridiplantae; Streptophyta; Magnoliopsida; Poales; Poaceae. The record is from RNAcentral.
AUGGCAAAGUGCCUCGCCGUCGCGCUCCUCCUACUGGUGGCGCUCGCGUACUGCGACGGGAGGGAGCUGAACCAGAAGGAUCAGGCACUAGCAACGGCACGCGGUGCCGGUGCUGGUGGUGCUGUCGACGAGUCCAAAGCACUAGGGCUGCCAGACCUGCCGCUUGUCGGAACCGUUACCGGUACCAGCACCAUUACCGGCCCGCUGGUGGUGCUUCCUGGGAUCCCUGCUCACCCAUGA